Molecule: transfer RNA, 72 nt
Filed under: Deltaproteobacteria bacterium
Lineage: Bacteria; Pseudomonadati; Myxococcota; Myxococcia
Description: tRNA-Glu
Rfam family: tRNA
About the family: Transfer RNA (tRNA) molecules are approximately 80 nucleotides in length. Their secondary structure includes four short double-helical elements and three loops (D, anti-codon, and T loops).
Source: RNAcentral
GUCCGUGUCGUCCAGCAGCAGGACCUCGGUUUUUCAAGCCGAACAACGCGGGUGCAACUCCCGCCACGGAUU